UAACGCGUGGGUAACCUGCCUCAUACAGGGGGAUAACAGUUAGAAAUGACUGCUAAUACCGCAUAAGCGCACAGUGCUGCAUGGCACAGUGUGAAAAACUCCGGUGGUAUGAGAUGGACUCGCGUCUGAUUAGCUAGUUGGUGGGGUAACGGCCUACCAAGGCGACGAUCAGUGGCCGGCCUGAGAGGGUGAACGGCCACAUUGGGACUGAGACACGGCCCAA
Molecule: ribosomal RNA, 223 nt
Filed under: uncultured bacterium
Lineage: Bacteria
Description: partial 16S ribosomal RNA
Rfam family: Bacterial small subunit ribosomal RNA
Source: RNAcentral